AGGCCGGGGGAAGGAGCUCCCGGUGUCGGAGUUUGUGAAGAGCGGGGACAGUGAGCUACUAGGGGGAAGCUGGACUGACAUAAAUGGGUUUUAUAAGCUCCUUUUCUAGGAGGCGAGAAGGGGAGGAUCUUCCACCUGCAAUCCGGAGAAAUGUUUCUCUUCCCAGUCUCCAUUCUGCAACCACGCAGUUGGGGGUUUAUAAACUUAAAAUAAUGCAGCCAUUGGAGCCUUUGAGGAAGGCUUAUCAGUUUAAAAUGAUCAGUGUUUUGGACGGGGCGAAAAUGUAGAGAAUGUUUCCAAAUGAAAUUUCUUCACUUGGAAUGAUUAAAAUGGAAUUCAGCAAACUGUGUUCAAAAGUCAACUAGAAUGGUAUGAGGAAAAAGGGAUGACAAAAAAAGUCAGAAAACUGAGAUGAGAUGAAUGAAAUGGAAGGGAAGACAUAAAAUCAGCAGAGUAAUUGGACUGAACAGCCUGUUUGUUUAUUUCAUACUCUGAUUAUUUCAUUUUAAACUCUUUUUGCAGGCUAUUCAGAAGGUUGUAUUUACAUCCAGGAGGUGAAAAAAUGCAUCACAUCAAAAUCUGACACUCACUCAAUUCAUCAGAAUGUGGGCAUUGUUGGCCUGCGAAUGUGCAGGGAGAAAUGCAUAUCUCUGAGCAAAUCAUCAGUGUGACUGCAAAAGCACUGAGACACACAGACUCGAGGGAUAAUUUGAAAGAGUAUUAAUUGGUUCCUCAGCCUGAAAAUUAAUUACACCAUUCACAACAGGGAGAGACUUGUCCAUGUGAUCUGUCUGUGGACAUCAGUUUCAGUCAAUCAUUGAACCUGGAAAGAAUUAAGGACACUGACACCAUGGAGAAACCGUGGAAAUGUGGUGACUGUGGGAAGGGAUUCCGUUACCCAUCAGGAUUAGAAACUCAUCAGCGCACACACACUGGGGAGAGACCUUUUAGCUGCUCGGUGUGCGGAAAGGGAUUUACUCAGUCGUCCAGCCUCUACACACACCAGCACGUUCACACUGGAGAGAAGCCAUUCACUUGCCCCGUGUGUGGGCAGGGAUUUAAUGCUUUGUCAACCCUCCGGACUCACGAACAGGUUCAUUCUAAUGAGAGACCGUUUAAAUGUUCUGACUGUGAGAAGAGCUUUAAAAGCAGAAAGGAUAUAUUGAUACAUCAACGCAGUCACACUGGGGAGAGACCAUUCAUCUGCAAAGUGUGUGGGAAAGGAUUCACUCAAUCAUCCCAUCUCCUGACACACCAACUUGUUCACACGGAUGAGAGACCCUUUAAAUGUUCAGACUGUUUGAAGAGCUUUAAAAGUAAAAAGGAUUUGCUGAACCACCAACGUGCUCUGACUGGGGAGAGACCAUUCAUCUGCUCUGUGUGUGGGAAGGGAUUCACUAGUUCAUCUUACCUUCUGACACAUCAACUUGUUCACACUGAUGAGAGACCUUUUGGCUGCCCUGACUGUGAGAAGAAAUUUAAAAGCAGAAAGCAUCUUCUUAAACACCAGUACAUUCACACAGGAGAGAGGCCAUUCCCCUGCUCUGUCUGUGGGAAAGGAUUCACUCGAUUAUCCCACCUGCUGAGACACCGUCGAGUUCACACUGGGGAGAGGCCAUUCUCCUGUGCUGACUGCAAACAAGAAUUUGUUGAUUCAUCCGACCUUCUGAUUCACCAGCGAGUUCACACUGGGGAGAGACCAUACAUCUGCUCACUGUGUGGCAAGAGAUUCACUCAAUCAUCCCACUUGACCACACACCAACUUGUUCACACUGAUGAGAGACCUUUUCAGUGUUCUGACUGCGAAAAGAGGUUUAAAAGUAAACAGAAUCUGCUGAAACAUCAACAAAUUCACACGGGGGAGGGGCCGUUCAUGUGCUCCUUGUGUGGGAAAGGAUUCGCUCAGUCACACAACCUCCUGAGACACCAGCAGCUUCACCUAGGAGAGCAGCAACUGGAUUCUGCUGUUAAUUGCAUCCAGGACUGAACCUUGUCUGGCUGCUCAUUCCCACUGGGUUCCAUAGUUAUGUGAAAUAUACCAAGGAUUUAGACUUUAAUGUAGAGGCUGUGAUGAAGAAAUUUGUAGAUAGCAAAGAAGUUGUGGUAGCCAGUAUGGAAUAAAGCUGUAGACUGUAUGAUGUCAAUAGAGAACUCAGAGACAGAAACAUGGCUCAUGGAAUUAAUUCUGGAGAUAAUGAAUCUGGGAGGGAAGGCGGCCAACAGGGCAAAGGAAAUACACAGUAACUGGCUGGAUACUGAGAAAUGUCGAGGCACAUCGAGAACUCAGAGUGGCAUCCACAGAUCCUUAAGGUGGCUGGACAGGCAGAUUUUCAGCAUCUGCUGAAUUUACAACCAAGUCUGGAAACACAGAUGCACCUAUUGCCGGUAUGAACACAAGCAGCUGUAUUUUGGAUCACCUCAAAAUUACCGUGAGGCCAGUUGGGAAGAUUUUCUUAAUUUCAUUCACAAGAUGAGGGUGUUGCUGGUUACACCAGCAUUUGUUACCCAUUACUAAUUGCCCAGAGGGCAGUUUAAGAGAGAACCCUGUUGCUGUCGGUCUGAGGUCACAUGCAGGCUGGACCAGUUUCAAUGGAGGAUAUUUCUGCCUGUCCAGUUCUGGAUGUCUGACAGCUCAGGAUGGUGUGAGAUUUGGAUGGAAUUUGGAGGUGAUAGUGUUCACGUCCAUCUGCUACCCUGGCCCUUCUAGAAAGUGAAGCUGGAGAGUUUGGGAGAUUCUUUUCAAGGUGCUGGUCAAGUUGCAUUGGAAGAGGAUUGCAGACUGGAAAUUCAAACCAAGUGCCACAUCUACAUCUGACAGAAUCCAUUCAACUCUGAAUGUCAGCAGUCUCUGACAAUAGAAGGAGAAAUGGUUUCAGUUAUGUCAAAAGGAGAAGAUAUCAAACGUCAGUCAGACUGGAAAGGCAACAAGACACACAAACAUAACUGAAGGAGACUGUUCUAUAACACACCCUGGAAGAAAAGUGUCACAUAUUUGUAGCAAAGAGAAACUGCACAUGUAUAGGUGACACUUCAACUGAUCAUCCAAACUGGGGAGACACCAGGGCAUAUAGCCAUGGAGAAAUGGUGGAAAUGGGGUGGCUGUGGGGAAGGAUUCAAUUACCCAUCUCAAUUGGAAAUUCAUCGGCUCAGUCACACUGGGGAGAGACUAUUCACCUGCUCUGUGUGUGGGAAGGGAUUUAUCCAUUCGUGCAACCUUCUGACACAUCAGCAAGUUCACACUGAGGAGAGGCCAUUCACCUCUCCUGUGUGUGGAAAGGGAUUUGAUCGAUCAUCACACAUUGUGACUCACCAACUUAGUCCGUUUAAAUGUCCAAACUGUGAGAAGGGUUAGCUGCAGAAAGGGUCUGAUGACGCAUCAACGUCUCCACACCAGGAAGAGGCCAAUCACCUGCUGUGUCUGUGGGACAGUAUUCACUCAGUCAUCCCAUCUUCAGGAAUGCCAAUUUGCUCAUUCUGAUAACAAGCUUUUUAAUUGUUCUGACUGCGAGAAAAGCCUUAAAAGCAAAAAAACAGGACCUGCUGUCACACCAAUAUACUCAUACAGAAGUGAGGCUAUUCACCUGCUGUGUGUGUGAGAAAGGAUUCACUCGUCCAUGUGGCCUGCUGUAUCACCAGCGGAUUCACACUGGGGAGAGACCAUUCACCUGAACUUUUUCUAGGAAGGGAUUCAUUAAUUCACCCAAAUUUCUGAUACACCAGCAACUUCACACAAGAGAUAGACCUUUCACCUGCUCUGAUAGUGGGAAGGGAUUUACUGGUUUGUGUAACCUUCUGAGACAUCAGCAAGUUCGUAUGAAAGAGAAGCCUUUAUCUGCCUUGUGUGUGGAAAUGGAUUCACUCGAUCCUCCAAUCUAAUGAAUUACCAGCGAGUUCAUUCUGGAGAGAAGCCAUUCAUUUAUCUAACAUGUGGGAAGGGAUUUACUCAGUCAUCCAACCUGAUGAAAACACCGGCAAAUUCACACUUGUGAGAGGCCAUUCACGUGUAAUGCUUGUGGGUGGGGAUUCAUUCAGCCAGCCCACCUGCAAACACACCAGUGAGUUCAUUAGAAAUGCAAGGUUUGAAUUCUGCACUUGCUGAUGCUGCUGACCACAUCCAGGAAUCUGUUCAUUCUGAUGAUCCUGAUUUGUUGAUAGGUUUAUAUAUUGUGCAAAAAUGUAAAAUUAGUCAACUUUUCUUGAGACAUUUUUGUAACUUCUGUCUUUGCCACCUGAGUGUUUAACAUCACCUGCCUGGAUUAUAAAGGACAAUCUGGGAAGAGGAUCACAUGUCAGAAACAGCCCUUUAGCUUGGGUACAGUCCAGGAGGGUCACAUUGACAGUGACAAAUGGGGCUUUCAUCUUUGCCAUCUCUCUUCACUUACAGUUGUUAUCGUAAUUUCAAUGUUGAAGUGCAUUAGAAAUAGAUUUGAGUCGUUCUCUUCCUUGGUUCGGAGUGCUAGACACAGAUUAGCAGCUUCCUUGCAAAUGUGUCAGGAAGAAUAAUGAUGAAUGCUGGAAACAUGCUGGAAAAUCAGACGUUGGUUUCAAAACUGUGAAUUGUUUCAGAGUACAAAACAAAGAGUUGCAGAUGUUGGAGAUCUGAAACACAUAGAUGUGUGUGUUUCUGAUCUAGUUUGACUGAAACAGCAGGUUUAAUUUUCACGCCUGAAAAUGGCACUUGAUAGUUUUGCCACAAUUGAACCUAUUUGUAUUAAAGCCCUGAUGUAUUGACCAAACUCAUUUAAAUUUCUUUAGUUAAAUCUGUAGUAAAAUUGAAGAUGGUGGUGUACAAUUGGAUCUAUAGAUAACUUUUGCAAUGAGAAUAGUUCCAUCCAGAUAAAUAAAGGGCCUGCGUUGUGCCCAAGAAUUUCCUCUAGUAUUGAUAUUGCUUCCAAAUCAUUGUCUUUUAAAUGUAACACAUCAUUACUGGUGAGUCAAUAUUAUCUGGAAUGCAUUCCCUGAAAGACUGAAGGAAGCAAAUUCAAUUGGAACUUUGAAAAGGAAACUGUUCGAAAAAUAAUUUUUUAAAAGCUACAGCGAAAGAUUGGAGAUGUGGAAUAUUUGGUCAGUUGUUUAAAACAGCUGAAUGGAUGGUCCAAAUGGCCUUAUUCUCCUGUCAAAUUCCAUUAUUCAUGGAAUUUCACUCAAAUCAAUCUAAAUCAAUACAAUUUCAUUAUUGAAGUUGGUGUUGGAGUUAUUAGCAUUUGGAAGGUUAACAGCAGCGGUGUUAGCCAAUGUUAUGGUCAACCUGUAGUUCUGAAUCUAAUUUCAAAAUCACUAGAUUCUGGAUUUGACAUCUGAUGCACAGCCUGGUUAGAUUAAUCAGAUAUUCAAUAAAGCAGUGAUAAAAAAAGCCAUUUUUCUGGGAACGAUCUGAACCAAUAAAAGACACCAAUUUUGUUUCUGUUGGA
Molecule: RNA transcript, 5411 nt
Organism: Stegostoma tigrinum
Lineage: Eukaryota; Metazoa; Chordata; Chondrichthyes; Orectolobiformes; Stegostomatidae
Gene name: gastrula zinc finger protein XlCGF26.1-like
Exons: 4
Source: RefSeq, a predicted model, not a curated record